AAGUAUCACGCCGGAUGAACGGAUUACUCUGAUGAGGUAAAUCACGGGCUAAACACCCUGAUACUUU
Molecule: transfer RNA, 67 nt
Filed under: Schistodesmus lampreyanus
Lineage: Eukaryota; Metazoa; Mollusca; Bivalvia; Unionida; Unionidae
Description: tRNA-Ile
Source: RNAcentral